This 468-nucleotide ribosomal RNA is filed under the name uncultured bacterium. Its description in RNAcentral is "partial 16S ribosomal RNA". It matches the Rfam family "Bacterial small subunit ribosomal RNA", at positions 28 to 507 of the family's 1533-position model. The record is from RNAcentral.
GACGAACGCUGGCGGCGUGCUUAACACAUGCAAGUCGAACGGAAAGGCCCUGCUUUUGUGGGGUGCUCGAGUGGCGAACGGGUGAGUAACACGUGAGUAACCUGCCCUUGACUUUGGGAUAACUUCAGGAAACUGGGGCUAAUACCGGAUAGGAGCUCCUGCUGCAUGGUGGGGGUUGGAAAGUUUCGGCGGUUGGGGAUGGACUCGAGGCUUAUCAGCUUGUUGGUGGGGUAGUGGCUUACCAAGGCUGUGACGGGUAGCCGGCCUGAGAGGGUGAACGGCCACAUUGGGACUGAGAUACGGCCCAGACUCCUACGGGAGGCAGCAGUGGGGAAUAUUGCACAAUGGGCGGAAGCCUGAUGCAGCAACGCCGCGUGCGGGAUGACGGCCUUCGGGUUGUAAACCGCUUUCGCCUGUGACGAAGCGUGAGUGACGGUAAUGGGUAAAGAAGCACCGGCUAACUACGUG